CUUAAGUCGAACAACUUUCAGUUGAACAACCUUCGACUAAAGAUUAAUCGACUUAAGGUUGUUCGUCUAAAGGGUUGUUCCACUGGAGGUUGUUCGACUGAAGAGCUGUUCGACUGAAGGGCUGUUUUACUGAAGGGCUGUUCGACUGAAGGUUGUUCGACUGGAGGUUGUUCGACUGAAGGUUGUUCGACUGGAGGUUGUUCGACUAAGGGCUGUUUGACUGAAGACUGUUCGACUGAAGGCUGUUCGACUGAAAGGUUGUUAGACUUAUGUUCGACUGAAGGUUGUUCAACUGAAAGGUUGUUCGACUGAAGGUUGUUCGAAUGAAGGUUGUUCGAAUGAAGGUUGAAAGAGAAAGGGAGAAUGUCAAGCAACAAAAUAUUCUCACUAUAACAUUUUUCAGUAUUACACUUCUUUGAUACCUAAUGUAUCUUAAAAACACAUGUAUUAAUAAUAAAAGUAACUCCCUCAAACAAUAAAAAAAAUAUUAUAAAUAUUUUGUUGCUUGACAUUCUCCCUUUCUCUUUUAAUCUCUUAUAUGCCGCGUUCACACCGUUUUUAUUUUUUAUUUUUUAUUUGUUUUUAUUCUAUCUGGAAAUUGUGUUUUAUUUUGUUGUGACGGUGGGGUAUAAGGUUGUGUGCAUACCCAACCCAGAUCCCAUUUGGUGGGAGCCUUAUGUGUUCGAUCAUCCUUAUGGUACCCAUGCAGUUGUUAUUGAAGCAUUGGUUUGGAUAUUUUAAGAUAACCAUUCUUAAUGUAAGUUAGACAUAUCAAAAGUACAAGACUUCUUAAGUUGGGGAUGGAACCACCUUUGUUGUUGUUUUGGCUGGUGAACUUUUAAGGGAGGCAGAAAAGUUGGUUGCUACCAAGAUUCAUCCAAUGACAAUAAUAUCAGGUUCAGUUCUUUUCUUUUCUACAGUGACUUAAAUGCUCUUAUCCUGGCAAUGUUAUGUUUCAUAUUAAUGAAUUUUCUACUCACAACUUAAGUGAUUCACUCUUUGAGUACAAGACAAUAUAUUCAAUAAGUAAUUCUUGUAUUUGAUAAGAAAGCAACAUUUUUCUUAUUGUGCUUAAUCUGUUUUUAAAAUUGUAUUUUGAAUAUCAUGUCUUUGUUUGAUGUCUAAUAUCGUGGAGUGUUCCUUUGAUGCUCUUGAUAUUAAGUAGGGAAUGCAAAGCCUAGUGUCAAAAAAUUUUGGUGCUUGUUUUCUAAUUAAAGUAGGAAUUAAUUUGUUGAUGCUUGUUAGAGAGAUGUGGUAAUAUAAGUAGUCAUUGGAAUUUCCAUUGUCAAUCUUUUAUUUUCCUUAUUUCUAAUGCUGCCCUAUAUGCACUUAUUUUUUGACGUGGUUUCUAGGUUUCCGAAUGGCAGCAGUGUGUUCGGAAUGCUUUGUUAGAGAAGGUUGUGGACAACAAAGCUGAUCCUGGUGUUGUUUCUCCCACUUUUUUGUCGAAUUUGUUUUCAGGGUAUUAUAAUUAGGGCUGGGCACGGUUUAUUUAGAAACUUGAAACUGUAGUUAAUAUGUACUUCUUCAUACUUAAAAAUACUUAAACUGUUUUUACUAAAACAUAGUUAUACGGUUAACAGUUCAGUUUGAAUAUACUGAACCUAUUUUAUUUGUACUACAGAAUAGUUAACUUUGGUUUAGGUUUAUUAUGUUACAUUCCUUUCUUAUUGUGUCAAAAAGCUUCCUUACUUUUGAAGACUAGCCUCCAUCGAAGGUCGUUGCCAUCGAAGGUCGUUGCCAUCCAAGCACGUAGCCGUUGACGUCUAAUUUGAAUUAGAAUGUUAUGAGUAUUACUUUUUGAGGAAGUACAUCCAUGACACAGGGAGAGAAACUUUUGGAAAGCAUAUUUGAAAGCAUUGCCCUGAUGUUUUUGAAGGUCUGGCCAAUCCAUGUUUAUGUAGCUCAUGAGCAUGAGGAAGAGUGGGAGGCUUGUCAUUGCAAAUUUGGCUUUCGAAGAUGUCAAGGUUGAAGGUUGUGGAUCUUAAGCAUUAUUUUUCAGUACCAUAUAAUGGUAGGUGAGUUGUGUGAAGAGCAUGUCCAAGAACUGUUGUUGGCUGAACAUGUCCGAGAACUGCUGGUGCCUGAGCAUGUCUGAACUUGUCAACAUGUUAUUAUGUACCGAUUGCCACGACCAGAAAAUUCAGAAAGCAAAACAAAUUGACGUGAGAAAAAGUGUAGUUAUAAAGCCAAGCACAUGGGCGACUUGGUUAGUUGAUUCAUUUUUCCAUCAAAGCAAAUUUUGAAGCAUGAUUCUCUGACUAUUAUCUCCUCACAUUUAGUCCAGAUUCUUCAUCAAUUUUGUAGCAGGAGUUCAAUCAUGUAAUCCUUGUGUAUAGGUGACCUAAUUUGUAUAGAGUACAAUUAUUUCUACUUCUAUGCUUUCAAUUCUAUUUGUCUUGAUCAACCAAACAUCUAUGAAGAUAAAAGUGUCCCUUACAAUCAAUCAUUCCAAUCAAACUUCAAAUCAAAACUUCAAUUAAAGACAUGUAUACCUUAAAACGCUCAAAGAAAACAUCUCUGCGAGUCUGAGGGAUUUGUCCCCAUGUCAGCCAUGGCUCAUCAAAUUGUCCUUUAAUGGUGGCUGUGAUUGUUUUGGAUGCUGUUUUUGUUGGAUAAAACCUGUAUCAAAAUAAAAGUCAAAUAUUAGAAUAAUACAUUAUUAUAGAAUUAGCUACAUUAAAUUCAUUUUUUGUUACCCUCGGCCAAUAGGUUGAAUGAUGGGACGAUUGGUGGAGCAUGAUCCAUGUUGUGUAUACAUACCAAUUAACGAAAAAUUAGCCAGUACUUAAUACAAGGCUAAACUAAUUAUGUGUUAGGAAAGUACUUAGUCAUGGUAGUAUAAGAAAUAGAAUGUGUUAUCUUAAUGUUUAGGUAACUCGUGAAACCCGUUGAGGGUGGGUUUAUGCUACAACACUUGUAGCUGUAUGCAAAAAGAAGAGGGAAUGAUACCAAUUCCAUCUUCUGAUUUUUGGAUAAAGUAAUAACCCCAUAUUCUAGGAUAGCCUUCAAAGGUAUUCUUUCAUUAAAGAAUCUAUGCAUUUUCAUAAUUGUUUCUUGGGUUCCUAUCAAAGAUAAAUCCAAAAUUCACAAUAUUUGUUGCUAGUAUUGUGCUCCCUAAUUUGUGCUACCUAAUUUUUCCUCCCUAAUUUGUGUUGUUUGCAUGCUUAAAAGAAGAUCUAGUAAAGAAAAUGACUGAGAGAUAUGAGGAUUUCUUGAAACAGUACACAAGAUUUAUGAUGACACACGGUUCACCCAUCUCAAAAGCAUAUCAAAUAUACAAUACCAAAAAUGCAUUGUCAUAAAGUAUAUUCAUGUUAUAUGCUCAUGUUAUAUGCUUGAAUGUAAAUAAACUUUAUUUCAUCACAUAGGUAUGAAUUAUGUAUAAGCUAAAAUGUCAAUACUUCUCACCUUUUCUCUUCAAAACUUACUAGGACCUUUGGCUGAAUGUGAAAACAACCUUGUUGUAUACUGGAUUGCAGAUGCAGAAGCAUAACUAUCUAGCAAGAACCAAUUGCAAAGAAUCUAAAAACCACAAUUAACUAGGCUGAGAAUGGAUACUAAGUAUAAAACCAAACAAUUGCAAAUUGAAGGAAAUACAAAGUAAUGAAAACAACUCAAGGUUUGGAAAAUAUGGGAAAAAAAAGUGCACAUUUCGAAACCUUAAAAUAUAUGUACCACAUAAGAAUAGUACACAUAAUAUACUUUACCUCAAAAUUCAAUCUAGGUCAUCAAAGCUUCCUAUGUUAUCCCAGGCAAAUUUGGCAAAUUCACCUUGCUUUUCUACGGCCUUUUAUAACUUCGUAGUCUCUUCUGUUACCCCUAUACAUAAAUAUAAUUACAAAUGAUAUACUAUACAACAUACUUUACUGUUUUUAUGCUCUAAUUCUGAAAUUCUUGUGCUACCCAGAACCACUUGUGUCUGUUUUUCUUGUGUUAACAAACUGAAUUUUGAAAAGGAAGAAAUGGAGAGUUCGGACAAUGUUGUUUGUACUAAUUUAUCAUUGUUUGAAGGAAAGAACUUUGAUGAUUAGAGGGUGAAGAUAGUUGUUAUAUUUUGUUUCCAACAUGUAGGACAAGUGGUGAAGGUGGGAUUUCAUGAAUUAGGAAUACAUGCUAUUGCCAAUUAUAAGGACAAUUAUAAAUAAUUCAAGAAACUGGAUUGCAAUUCCCAAUUUAUGAUUCAUCAAUGUGUUGAUGUUACUGUUUCUCGAAGAAUAUCCAAGGCCAGUGCAACAAAACAAGUGUGAGAUAUUUUGGUUAAGACCUAUGGCUUUUAGAAUCUGCUGCAGAUUUUUUCAAUAGAAUUCAAAUACUGGUGAAUAGAAUGAGUCUUGCAAGUAGGAGCUCUCAGAUCAGCAGCAGGUUGUUAACAAGAUCUUCAGAACUUUAACUUUGCACUUGAUCAUGUUGUGGAAAAUGAAGAAUCAAAGGCUUUGAUUCAAUGCGUAUUGAAGAAUUACAUAAUUCAUCCCUAUGCACAAAGAAUUAAUGAGAGGAGGAAUGCUGAGAAGAGAAGGCUCACGAGCAAACAUUACAAGUCUAAAACAGUAUAAAAAACUAAAGGGAGUUGGAACCAAAAAGGGAAAUGGAAAGGAAAAUGGAAAGGAGGAAGAUUGAAUGAAUGAACUAGUGGCCAAGGCCAAACUGUUCAAGAUCAGAGUGAUUUGACCACCAAAAGAUGAUUUUUUUUAAGAACUCAUUUAAAUGAAAAUUUUAAUCAGGGAUUUAUCAACCAACACACUCAUAUUUCAGGGACCAAUUUGAAUAUGUACUCAGAAAAUGUAUUGAACUACUUUGAGAUAAACAAAUUUUGGUUGACUUCACGCAGAACUUAAUUGGUUAACAAGUUUCCUUCUCGCAUAUAAGCCAUUCUAUGACCAUCUCUUUUCAUCAACUUCACAUCGUCUAUCCUCAAUUUCUCUCUUUUUACAAAAUGUUGCAAAUUUGCAUAGUUGCUUAA
Long non-coding RNA from Vigna radiata var. radiata (mung bean), 4963 nucleotides. RefSeq lists it as uncharacterized. The transcript has 4 exons. The record is from RefSeq and is a predicted model, not a curated record. NCBI's taxonomy places the organism in Eukaryota, Viridiplantae, Streptophyta, Magnoliopsida, Fabales, Fabaceae.